GCCUGCUUUAGGGGAACAGGUGGCAACUUUUAUAGCCUCCACUGUUGAAUUUACCUCUUCUGAUGGGAUUGGGAGCAUUUGUUCAUUCAUGUGACUAUAAACUCUUUGAAGAUGAGGUCUGGAUCCUUUCACUUUUGAAUCCGCAAAACCUGACACAGUGGCUAUAACAUAAAGUACUCACUCAGAGGCUAAACUAUAUGGUAGAGACUAUGUCAGGAUCAUCUCCAGAGAAAGGUUUCUCAUGCUCAUGAAUGAAAAUCAGAGGAAUUCAAGCUAAUGCUAUGAAACAAACCAAUAAAGAAGGAAGGAAGGAAGGAAGGGAGAGAAGUGGAAGAGGAAAGAAGAGUGGAGGAAGUGUGCAAGAAAGAGAAAAUGAAGGGUAUAAAUAUCAGAAAAGACAGAAAUGCACUUGGAGGUAACAGGAUUGUUAUAUCAGUGCCUCCAAGGAAAUGUUAGCCAUUAACAAAAAAGGAAAAAGCACAGAAUUCUUACGAAAACAAAAGCAGGGGUGCCUGCGGGGCUCAGUCUAUUAAGCGUCUUCCUUCAGCUCAGGUCAUGAUCAGAGUCCUGGGAUUGAGUCCCAUAUCAGACUCCCCAGUCAGCAGGAAGUUUGCUUCUCCCUCUACCCUAUGCCCUACUCAUGCUCUCUCACUCUCUCUCUAAAUAAAUAAAAUCUGGAAGGAAGGAAGGAAGGAAGGAAGGAAGGAAGGAAGGAAGGAAGGGAGGGAAGAAAGGAAAAGCAAACUAGAAAAUAUUACCAAAAAAAGAGAUUUAAACGAAUGAGCAUUUAUUUUCUACAGAGCUCUUUGGUAAGAUUCAAUAUAGUAUAUAUAUCAAUUCCC
RNAcentral lists this long non-coding RNA (842 nucleotides) under Mustela putorius furo (domestic ferret). RNAcentral's name for it is "lncRNA (ENSMPUG00000023855.1)". The record is from RNAcentral. Lineage: Eukaryota; Metazoa; Chordata; Mammalia; Carnivora; Mustelidae.